This 346-nucleotide long non-coding RNA is filed under the name Mus spicilegus (steppe mouse). RNAcentral's name for it is "lncRNA (ENSMSIG00000025223.1)". Lineage: Eukaryota; Metazoa; Chordata; Mammalia; Rodentia; Muridae. The record is from RNAcentral.
GCUUUAAUUUGCACACUUGCCUCCGGGUAGUUCUUUGGCCUGGAGGCUCGCAGGCCCACGCCCUGCCGUCCUCCACUCCGGCCCCCAGCCGGGGCCAGAGCCCGAGGCACCCGAGCCUCCCCGGCUACCCCGCGGGCGGCGCCCUCCGCCCUCCGCAGCUGUGCCCACCCCCUGCCCGCAGAGCGCAGCUCGCCUGGGCCUCAGUAGUCAGUUACCUGCUCCGCGGGGCGAACACGAGCGGGGGCAGACAGACACUCCAGCUUCGCAGGAGGCCAGCGCCCCUGGACCGCAGCCUUCCAGUUCAAAUGCACACCUUGGGCAGGAGCAUCCCAGGGCUCGGCGGCGC